AAGUCGUAACAAGGUCUCCGUUGGUGAACCAGCGGAGGGAUCAUUACCGAGUUUACAACUCCCAAACCCCUGUGAACAUACCUAUACGUUGCCUCGGCGGAUCAGCCCGCGCCCUGUAAAACGGGACGGCCCGCCGCAGGACCCAUAAACCCUGAAUUUUUAUUGUAACUUCUGAGUUUAAAAAACAAAUAAAUCAAAACUUUCAACAACGGAUCUCUUGGUUCUG
This 226-nucleotide unclassified non-coding RNA is filed under the name Fusarium nelsonii. Its description in RNAcentral is "partial internal transcribed spacer region". The stretch from base 1 to 46 matches the Rfam family "Eukaryotic small subunit ribosomal RNA", at positions 1786 to 1831 of the family's 1831-position model. The record is from RNAcentral. Lineage: Eukaryota; Fungi; Ascomycota; Sordariomycetes; Hypocreales; Nectriaceae.